UUGCUAAGCCGAGUCCCGGGGGUCUGUGUGCGGACGCGGGGCCUCCAGCUUCACCUCAGAGCGGUCUGACGGAGCAGCUUCCAUCCACCCAUGGCUGGUACCACCCGGCGGCGUCUGAGCAGGAAGAUGGCAGUUCCCUGUAUAGAAAUCCAGAAAAUUACGCAGCAGAAACCAAAAAACAAGAAAGAAAGAUAAGAAAAGAAAAAGUCCAAUAACUUCUUUGAGGCUUUGGUCCGAACAGACGGAGGAGCUGAUGCCACUUCUGCUUCCUCCUCAACUUCCCCUCUAACAGCAGCAGAUUUUCCGGGCGGUGCUGGUUCGGUGGGAGGCGCAGGCUCGGCUGGAGGCGCGGGCUCGGUGCGUUUCAGGGGCGAGAAACUUGAGCAGGGAUCGUUCACGCAAAACCUCGGGAGUCCUGUGAUGGUUCUGUGUGGUGACUGCUUCCAGAGCCGUGAGUAGAGAUGAUGAUUAAAAACAGUAAUUUUAAAAAAUCACAGUUUGGAUUUUCCUCGCUUGUUUUAUGGGUUCGGAGCAGCGGAGAGGACCGAGGACCGACCCGCUCACUGCUGCUGCUGCCUGCACCGGAGCUGUCCGCGGUGCUGAAGCGAGCAUCUCCCCCUCCUCCCUCCUCCUCCCUCCCCUCUCCUCUCCUCACCCUCCCCUCCAGAGCUGGGUGGUGUCUUCAUGGAUACUCCCCCCGUCUUGCACGCACACACGCACACACACACACUCAGGUAAUCUAUGGGCCACUUCUAGGCUGCUCGGUGAGGAAGAGGAAGAAGAAAAAAAGAAAAGUUUGGAGAAACAGAAAUCAGUCGGGUCGAAUCGGGUGAAGUUAAGCGGACAUGGAGAAGCUGUCAGGGUCAAACUGCUCCGUGUCCCUGUGUAAAAGCUUUCACAGCAGUUUAAGCUGCAUCCAUCUUUGUGCCAUCAUUAUAAUAAUCUUAACGCUGCAGCCUGACCCCCAGCUUGCAUCUAUUUGCAUGACAUUUCGUGUGAAUGCAUGACUGAAGACAGGACUCGUGGUGGUUUGUACGGUGCAGAUUCUGUUUUGAUCCCAGUUUAAUGCAUUUUUUUUUUUUUGCCUGUUUGUAUAAUUCACUUUUGGACCAUUUUACAUUCAGAGUCUUCUAACAGAGUUGCUGCCUUCAGACCAGCUGAUCGGCUCUGAGCUCGGUGAGCGGUUACGUGAUGUCAGGUUUGGUUUUCUGGUCGCUUGUAAGAUGAGCAACAGCGCCUCCUUCUGUUUGUGUCGCCACAUGUCCGGACAGAGAGGUGAUGGAGACGCUGCACGGUGGCUGGUGUCUUUACCUUUUUUUACCUCUCAGCUGUGUAUCCAGGUGUGCAGCUGUUUUCAUUUAUGUGUCAGAGGUAACAAGAGCAAAUUAAAUGACAUUAAUAUUCUUAUCUUUUCCAGGGAAAUUUUCA
Long non-coding RNA from Acanthopagrus latus (yellowfin seabream), 1428 nucleotides. RefSeq lists it as uncharacterized. The record is from RefSeq and is a predicted model, not a curated record. The transcript has 2 exons. Lineage: Eukaryota; Metazoa; Chordata; Actinopteri; Spariformes; Sparidae.